RNAcentral lists this ribosomal RNA (254 nucleotides) under uncultured bacterium. Its description in RNAcentral is "partial 16S ribosomal RNA". It matches the Rfam family "Bacterial small subunit ribosomal RNA", at positions 524 to 776 of the family's 1533-position model. The record is from RNAcentral.
GACGUAGGGUGCGAGCGUUGUCCGGAAUUAUUGGGCGUAAAGAGCUCGUAGGCGGUUCCGUAAGUCAGAUGUGAAAACUCAGGGCUCAACCCGGAGACGCCAUCUGAUACUGCGGUGACUGGAGUCUGGUAGGGGAACACGGAAUUCCUGGUGUAGCGGUGAAAUGCGUAGAUAUCAAGAGGAACACCUGCGGCGAAGGCGGGUUGCUGGGCCGACACUGACGCUGAUGCGCGAAAGCGUGGGGAGCGAACAGG